UACGAUUGAUAUUACGGCCCUUAGGGCCUGU
This 31-nucleotide small RNA is filed under the name Bombyx mori (domestic silkworm). RNAcentral describes it as "piRNA piR-bmo-2107128". Lineage: Eukaryota; Metazoa; Arthropoda; Insecta; Lepidoptera; Bombycidae. The record is from RNAcentral.